AGAAAAGCCGGCAUAAAGCACUUUUAUUGCAAUAAUAAAACUUGAGACUCAUAAAUGGUGCUGGGGGAAGGGUGCAGCAACGAUUUCUCACCAAAUCACUACACAGGACAGCAAAGGGGUGAGAAGGGGCUGAGGGAGGAAAAGCCAGGAAACUGAGAUCAGCAGAGGGAGCCAAGCAUCAAAAAACAGGAGAUGCUGAAGCUGCGAUGACCAGCAUCAUUUUCUUAAGAGAACAUUCAAGGAUUUGUCAUGAUGGCUGGGCUUUCACUGGGUGUUAAGUCUACAAACAGCACCUUCAAUUGAAACUGUCAAUUAAAGUUCUUAAGAUUUAGGAAGUGGUGGAGCUUGGAAAGUUAUGAGAUUACAAAAUUCCUGAAAGUCCAUUAGAAAAACCACAGGAUGAAAAAAAAAAAAGGCCACAAAGAAGGCUUCAGAGGUCCCUGCUGGCCCAGGGACAGAUACCUGUAGUGUCCAGCAUUGCAGUGAACAUGAUCUACUUUCAAAGGCAGAGGGUUUAAGGGGAGGGUGGGUGGGAAUGGUGGAGGCAAAGGCUCUCCCCAUCCCCACCUCAGUUUUAGGUAGGGCUUUUAAUUUAACCCAAAGACAUCUCUCAACUUGGAGAGUAAUUCAGUCCUCAACAGCGCCUCAAAUCUGCUAUGGCUUUGCAGCGCAGCAGCAAGAAUGUUUAAUAUAUAAUAGAUAAAAAUUUCAUCCAAAAAAUUAAAAUAAAAUAUUCUUGCAAACCCCCCCCCCAACACCAAUUCCUAUUCUAAUGUUAACCUACCACUUGUGCUGUUAAUACUUGACCAUGUACUUAAUUGGAAACCUAUAUCCAAAAGACUGAAACUGAAUCUUCACCCCAAAAUGAAAACAAAAUAAAAUGAAUAACUUGAGGUUUAUGGCAUAUAGUUUAGGUAAACACACAUACGAGGAGAAAGGGGAAGAGGAAACAGAGGUGUCGGAAGCAAAGCUGAGUGACAGAACACAUUCAGUCAGGGCAGAUGUCUAUACAAAGUGGAGUGGAACAUCAGGAAAAGCUCCAUAUGGAUUCAUGUGCACAUGUCUGGAGGCACCAGAUCCCUCCAUGGCAGAUCUGUUGGGGACAGAAAAUCUGUGAGUUUCCAGCAACUCAGUGUUCUUUGUGUGCAGUGGCGACAGCCACGAUGCCAUCUGCCACGCCAAAUCCCUUCCCCAACAGCUGAGCAGUCUGAGACCAAGCCACUUCUGUUCCAGCUGGAGACAGCCAGAAAGACUUGGGCUGGGUCCCAGGUGAAACAAACUUUCUCCUUAAAUUGAUCUGUGUGUUUUGUUUAAUCUAAGGUUAAGUUUGCCUUGCUGAGGACAGCAGGAGGGCUAGCCACCCAUGCUGCUGACAAUACAGUUCCCCACUAUCAUUGGGUCUCAAACUGUGCUACAUAUAGGCAUCACCUGGGGGCUUUAAAAAACUCUUAAUGCCUGGGUUCCACUCCCAUGAUUAUGAUUAACUGGUUUAGGGUUUGACCUGGGCAUCAGGAAAGUCUUAAAAAUUUCCCAGGUGACUCUCAUGUGCAGUCCAGACUGAGAAUAAACUGGUCAUUCAUAAUGUUGAGUAUACUGGGAAAAUAUCUCCAGUAUUCAUUCAUUCACUCAACUUAAAACUUUCUGGGUUUGCCCUUGGAUUUUCCUUCCAGACUCUUGCAAGAAGCUGAGACAUUCUUUGGCAGUGGGUUGGGAGGGUUACUCGGGGUGACUUGUAGCCUUUAUCCCUCUCUCCCCUCCCUCUACCUCAUCAAGUUUACAGAAAGCCUGUUCCCAACCAGGAAAAUAAUUCCAAGGCUCCCUCGAGUACAGUUAUGUUCAAAAAAUGACUCAGCUCUCAAAGAACAGGAAAGGGAUUUUGGCCUAGGUGCAGACCUCUGGGCAGACAAAGGCCCUGUAAAGUGCCAGGGAUUCCCUCCCAGUAGCAAUGACAGGUGAAGAAACCAGUUAUCAAACUUAACCAGGCCUGUAUUACCAAGGUGUGUGUGGUUCAAACAGAGAGUUUAAAAAGCCCCUCCACUUACAGAUGUGCACAACAGGACCAGGUUACAAGUAGCUCUGACUGCCAUCACAAAUAGGAUGGCAGCCAUUUGUUGUGGCUUUCAAACAAAAGUGUCCUCACCCAGGCCUUGGCUGUGACCCUCUGGUUCCUAUGGCAGGAGGGGAGCAAAUAAAAAGGUCUGGGGCCAGUUGGAAGGAAGCCAGUAGCAUUCAUGUACUUAAUGAUUCUAACACUUACAUGAAAAGUUACGUGCUACUAGGAUACUGAGUUUAGUUCCUAAGAAAUGAGGGUGGAAGAGGGGAAAAUCAACAAACAGGGGCUCUGGUCCUACUUUGCCACUGCCUGGAUGUGACCUUGAGUAAGGCCUUUCUCUCUGGCCCUGUUUCCUUACUGUUGCACAAUAAAGCUGAUGCAGAGGCCCCUAAGAUCCCUUCCUAGAACUGUCUGAUCUAAGAGCAUCCUUUCAACUUCACAAGCAUCCUCUGGCUUCAUUUUUCCACUUCACUCACUGAUAAGCUGGCCUGGGGGCCUCAAGUGUCCUGGGUGUGGACCCUGAGCAGGUGGACCGAUGCAGGAAUGCCUCCCUCAUACCAUCUAAUAGGCAGUAACCACAAACCACAGUGAAGAGAGAGCCGCAGAAGCUAGGACAUGAUAUUCAUAUCCAAAGGGCUUUUUUUUUCCCCCUCUAGCUUCUAGAAACACAGGGUAGAACAAAGUCAUUCAUUAAGAGUCUUAUUUCCAAAGAACUAAAAUGUUGGCACUACAAAUUUGGCCUACAUUUCCAUAGUCCUCAAUUCAGUUUUAAUUUAUAAACUACAUAGAAAAACAUUUAAACAGCUGCCAUCUCCAUGAGUUGAACUGGGAACAUACACAUGCCAAUUCCUUUCCUUAGGGUGACCAAUUUUUACAUUCAAAGCAUACACUAAUAACACUGAAAGGAUACUCAAUACAGAAAGAAUGCAGGGGGAAAAAUAGCCUUGUGGUGUUUUUUGUUCUCUCUGCUACCCAUCAAACGCUGGGCAUAACAUGGGAGGAGCAAAGGCAGUGAAGGGCCCUUCAGUAUUCCAUUUCCUUACCCAAGAACAGGGAGCUAAGGGAGGAGGCCAUUCCUGUCAUUCCAGUUUUAGAAGCUCCACAUCGAAGACGAGAGUGGCAUGUGGUGGGAUGAUGCCUGGGUGCCCAGUGGCACCAUAGGCAUAAUCUGGAGAUAUAGUCAGUUUGGCUCUCUGACCCACACUCAUCUGUGAAAAGAACAAGGAAGACAGACUCAGCUGGACACAUGCCCCAACUGUCUCUGUAAGAAAAAGAGCUGUUUACCUAGGUGUUCCUUGGCCAGGAUGGUAUUGACUUUCCAGUGACUUUGCAGCUGCCCAGGCAUCACCACCUCCUUGUGCAGGACUUGGAGGUUGGCAGUCAUAUUCCAUCACCCCUGCAUCUCACUCCAAGAAGCCCAAUGGCAGUUCAAAACCCCUCCUGACUCUCAGAACGGUCAGGCCCUCAACCUUUCUACGCAAGUCUUAAUGACUAAUGCUAGGCAGGUAACAUUCCAGAUGUCUCACCACCUAGUCCCCUUCAGUGAUCUGUCACUUAAAGGACAUGUUAAGUGCCAUCUAUGCUCUUCUUGAAAAAGGAAUACUCAACUUUGCUUUAAAAAAAUAUAUACACAGGAAGUAAUACUUGAGGGUAGUCUAUUUUUUCUGUAUUUUUUCUAUUUAUACUCUUUUACCCAUAUAGGAAAACUUCAAAAAAGACAAUAUGAUUUUCUGGGCUACAAAAUAGCAUUUACUGAAUACCAUUUGUGAAAAUAUUGAUAUGCCUACAACAGAAAACAUCUUUGGAAGGACAUACCAGACAUUUGCUGUGAGGAGAACAGUAUGGAUAGUGAGUGACCAGUAAGGAGAGAUUUCUACUUUAAAAAAUAUAUUUGUGUAUAUUUUCAGUUUCAAAUUAAAUACACAAAUAAGUAUAAAAUAUCUACUUUCUGAACAGUGAGCAGGUUCUCUGCAGUAUUUCCAUCCUUUGACUUAUCUCUGCUUUUGGUCUCCAUGUGUAUGUUCCCGACUUUCCAACUCCACCAGACAGAGGAUGAAUAAAGAGGAAGCUCCAGGCUGUGAAGCGUCUAGUCCUUGCUCCCCUCAGAAGCUGGGACAUGUUGGACCAAGGUGGUAAGGAUAGUGAGAGGCCAAAGAUUUAACAAUAUACUGUGAUGCUGGGGCUGGGAGGAGAUUGCACCUUUAUAGCCUGGUGGUGGCAGUCCAGAGUGCAACCCCUAGAGAUGGUAACUUGACAAGACCUCUCAAAAACACUACACACAGCUUUUGAGCCCCUCAUCCCACUUCUGAGAGUAAGUCCUAUGGCAACAUGUGCACACGUGGAAAAUGAAGUCUGUACAAGGUGAGUUACUGCAGCAUUGUUUAUAAUAGCAAAAUACUGGAAAUGACUCAAAUACUCAUUAAUAGGGCACUAGCCAAGUAAAUUAUAGCACACUUACAUAAACGAAUACUAGGCAGCUGUAACAGAGCUUACUCCUCAUUUUUUCUUUCUUUUUUGAAAUGGAGUUUCGCUCUCGUCAUCCAGGCUGGAGCGCAAUGGCACAAUCUUGGCUCACUACAACCUCCGCCUGCUGGGUUCAAGUGAUUCUCCUGCCUCGGCCUCCCAAGUAGCUGGGAUUACAGGCACCUGCCACCACGCCCGGCUAAUUUUUGUAUUUUUAAUGGAGAUGGGGUUUCGCCAUGUUGGCCAGGCUGGUCUCGAACUCCGGACCUCAGGUGAUCC
RNAcentral lists this long non-coding RNA (4795 nucleotides) under Homo sapiens (human). RNAcentral describes it as "HSALNT0399129". The record is from RNAcentral. Lineage: Eukaryota; Metazoa; Chordata; Mammalia; Primates; Hominidae.